UACUGGAAACGGUAGCUAAUACCGCAUAACGUCGCAAGACCAAAGUGGGGGACCUUCGGGCCUCAUGCCAUCAGAUGUGCCCAGAUGGGAUUAGCUAGUAGGUGGGGUAACGGCUCACCUAGGCGACGAUCCCUAGCUGGUCUGAGAGGAUGACCAGCCACACUGGAACUGAGACACGGUCCAGACUCCUACGGGAGGCAGCAGUGGGGAAUAUUGCACAAUGGGCGCAAGCCUGAUGCAGCCAUGCCGCGUGUGUGAAGAAGGCCUUCGGGUUGUAAAGCACUUUCAGCGGGGAGGAAGGCGAUGAGGUUAAUAACCUUGUCGAUUGACGUUACCCGCAGAAAAAGCACCGGCUAACUCCGUGCCAGCAGCCGCGGUAAUACGGAGGGUGCAAGCGUUAAUCGGAAUUACUGGGCGUAAAGCGCACGCAGGCGGUCUGUCAAGUCGGAUGUGAAAUCCCCGGGCUCAACCUGGGAACUG
Molecule: ribosomal RNA, 480 nt
Filed under: Enterobacter cloacae
Lineage: Bacteria; Pseudomonadati; Pseudomonadota; Gammaproteobacteria; Enterobacterales; Enterobacteriaceae
Description: bacterial SSU rRNA
Rfam family: Bacterial small subunit ribosomal RNA
Source: RNAcentral